Long non-coding RNA from Wyeomyia smithii (pitcher-plant mosquito), 3486 nucleotides. RefSeq lists it as uncharacterized. NCBI's taxonomy places the organism in Eukaryota, Metazoa, Arthropoda, Insecta, Diptera, Culicidae. The transcript is spliced from 3 exons. The record is from RefSeq and is a predicted model, not a curated record.
UUGGAACCAAAUUUACGAACUCCGAUGCAAAAACAUAAGCACGUCAAGGGCCAGCAUGAUGCAAUAAAAUUUCUGUUUACAUUUUUUGUGCAGUUUGGGUUGUAUUUUGUAGGCAGUUUAUUCUGCUUAAUUCUGGUAAAUAUGUUAUAAUUGAACGUGUCGUCAGGCGAAAGCCGACAGAUUUGAAUUGUGAUUCGGCAGGAGUGAUAGUUUUUCCUUAUAUAGGCAUGGCCGAUAAGAAAAUCAUCCUGGUCUACAAGCGGCCUGAAUAGCAGAACAAACAGGUCGAACCUACAGUCGACGACAUUCUUCAUCUAGAUUCAGGUCCCGAUCGCAAUCUCGACGUCGCACAACGUAUGGCAAAGAUGGGUCAAAUGUUAGCGAUGAUGUGAAUGAUCUCAUGAUGGCUUGGUUGCUGCUGCUGCUACUCGAAAAGCCACGAAAAUGGCAAGUACAAACAGCGCGGAACAACAGGACAAAAAAGAUGACAUUACUGCACAGUUAUUCUUGGAAAGUGCUUUAAGACAUCCUGGAUCAGGCCAGAACUGAAGCUGAUGCCGAUAUUCUUGCGAACUUGUGUGCAGCUGGUGUCACGGCCGGUGGUAGUCUGGCUGUCUCUACCCCAAAAAGGGCCUAGUGAACGAAGUUGUGUCCUAGUGGAUUGAUCUGUGAUUGUAGCGAACAGAGUUGUCCGUAUCCUCUGUGCGGUAAAGAGAAAUUCCAAUUUCACCUCACACUCUUCGAACUGUAACGAGAGCGCUACUCUUUUGUCCGUGCUCACCACGCUUUCUGUGUACGUGCGCGACAAUGAGUGUGAAAAAAACAAAUAAAAAACUCUCAACACUGGGCUGCGCUACAGCGUAGAAAACUACUCCCAAAUUCACCAAGGCGAAUGAAGAUAAACUCACCGACGCGCGCUCCAGUGAGAUUUCUAGCGUUGCAGAGCUAGCUGCACGAAAGUUUCAGACUAAUGAAUUCAUUAUUGCCGGUUGAUAAUUUUUUACUAAAAACAUUUUUAUUUAGCAUUUUACGCGCCGUAAUAGCAGACAUGAAUCCUGGUGUCUUGUCAACUUCAAGAAUGAAAUUCCUUGAUUUUCAGCUUUUACUAAAAUGGUGUUUUUUUCCAAUACAUGCUUUUCUCGAAUGUACCAGGAGGAGUCCAAAUGAACAUUACCGUUAACAGAGUCUAGAAAUGAGACAUAAGCAAUGUAUUCGUGAAAAAAAAAACAGCCUAGUCUAACUUAAUUAAAAUCACAAAAUAGACAUGUUUUGGCAGAUUAUUUUCGCAAAGCCAACCUCGUAUUUUAUAUUUUUAUGCUUAUUAAAAAUUUUUUCUUAAACCGUUAUGUGCUCGACGGGGUACCCGAAUACCAUUUUAGGUUUCACAAGACGAAAUUUCAUACUUUUAUUCUGGAAGAAUAUUCUCAUUGCUGGAAAUUCGGUUGUUCGGAGAUAUGUUCCGAAGCGGAAAAAUUUUAUAAAUAUUUGACAGAAUCUUACUACUAUUGGUUCAAAGUUUAUAAAAUUAUAUUCACAGGACAUAUUUAUGGUUUUGGGUGUUAUGGAGAUAUGCUCUCAAAAUAGUCAUACGGAACAGAUUCCACGGGGGCUUUUGGUGGCCAUAAAAACAAUUAAAAAAUACUACGUCACAUACCAAUAUGGGUAUUUUUGAACCGGGGUGAAAUCUAGAGGCAGAAUAACGACCCCCGACGCCAUUUUGGAAUUCCAAAAUGGCGGCUUCCGGUUUUCCGGAAUCGGUACGAUGUCCAGAGACUGGAAAUCAACCUCGGACGCCAUUUGAAAUUUAAUAUGGUCACUUCCAGUAUCCGGCAAACAGCUAAAAUCGGCCAAAUAUCACGUAAUAUAGAUACUGUCGGAAUCGGGAUGCUGUCCAGAGACCUCAAAACGACAUCAAACGACAUCAAACGACCCGGAAGUUACCACCGUGAAUUUCAAAAUGGCGUGUGAAAUUAAUUUCCGGUCUCUAGGCCUGGUAUUCAGCCAUUUUUGUAUCUAUUCCAGAAACCGGAAAUCGAGCAAGUCAUCGUAUGCUCGAAUUUCGACUGAUAUAGUUAUUGAGAUAUAACUCAUAAACGUUGGCUGGCAAAAAUUAUUUUCGAUUUCACACUAUUUUGUAACUAAAGACAAUUUUGCCCUGAGAAAAUGUUCAUUUUUCUUCUCCCGAUUGAAUCCGUUUCCGUUUCCGCUUUUCCAUUCUUUUUCCGUGCUCUGAAUGAGUAUGUUCAGAAAGAGACUUUACUACGAGGAAAACAUUCUGCAAACAUUUUUUUAGCAAUCGAAUUUUAUGUUGUUGUAAUCAACAGGCUAUCGAAUCAAUAUCUAGUAGAACCUGCCAUACAAAUAUACUUUUUAGCGAUUGGAUAAGAGUGAGAAAAUAAAUCGUUGUUAACCAAUUUGAAAUGUCUUAUUCCACUUAUGCCACAUUAAAAUUUUUAUGAAUAACACUAGCAUAGGUGUAAUCUGUACUCGGUAAUUUUUACAAACCACCAGUAAAAUUAACAAGAAUGAACAGAAAACUAGCAUUCACAGUCAUUGGCGUCGAAAAAUAUUCUUGGCGGAGCACCGAUUUAGAAUCACCUAUGGCGGCGGCGCACACGACUUAUCACGUCUCUUACGUACAAAAGAGAAAAUAAGCUUUGAAUCACUAAGUAGGUACUAGUACACUUUAGUCGAUUUGUUUACGGGUAUUAAAUUUGUUCACGGGUAAAUUAGGGCCCCUUAUUUAUUCUGGAUUCACGCGUUUUUUGUACGCGGAGUUUUUAUGCGUCACGUAUCUUCCGCGUAAAGAGCGAAUUGAGUACAUCGAUCAUUCAUUUUUUAAAUAAUAACUUCCAUUUUACAAUUUUGAAAAGCUUGCCCCCAUGAUCCAAAUCCUGCCUACGCCCAUGUCAUGACACAAGUGUUCUUCACAUCGGUUCAUUUUUUGACUGGCGCUGGAACUCGUUAAACAAAAAUUGCUGCAAUCUGGUCAAAUCUGUAUGACGUACAAGAUAGAGACCAACAACGGAUGUUUCUUCGCACCAGUGUACGCUAUAGCGCCGCGCACGGGUGAAUGUAGACGAGAGCGCAAGAGAGCAACUUUUUGGAAGAGAAUGUAACGCACUCGCACUUUGUCUAUCAAGCACUAGCGCACACUCUCGUGCGGCAUAUUUGUUACUAAAAGAAAAGAGUCUCUUUCUCGGUGUGGUGAGUUAUGCUCUAUCUCCUCUUUGUUCGUACAAUUCUUGCACGUCAGUGGAUCGCCUGUGCGAAAUGCCAACUCUGGUAGCGAAUAGGGCUUUAUUACAGAAGAGUCGACUCGACUCGCCCAUGUAUUUCAAAUGAGGCGAGUUGCUCUUAGUAGCUACUGUAAUAUGGCCCUAUGAUGUGAGAUUUCUCGUCAUGUACUUUGUGAGUAGAAGAUGAUGAAAAAUAAAAUACAGUUGCUAAACCAUAUUACUCGAAGCUUUCCGCUCUCUUAAGUUA